Molecule: long non-coding RNA, 9857 nt
Filed under: Solanum tuberosum (potato)
Lineage: Eukaryota; Viridiplantae; Streptophyta; Magnoliopsida; Solanales; Solanaceae
Description: long non-coding RNA (STUB_LNC001303)
Source: RNAcentral
UGUUUGUUGUUGUGCCUGAAACAACUAUAUAAUAUUUGGUUGUUGUUUUUUUGGCCUUUUGACUGAUGCUAUUUUACAAAAUACUCAUCUAUCAUUCAUGAAUUCGAGAAGUAGAAUAUUUAGUUCUAUUGAAUAGUAUUUAUAAAGUCUAUCAAUGGGGCAUGUAGUUCUGUUAGAAAAAUAUUGCCUCUCUUUGUCAUUUUCCGCACUUCCUUUCUUGAAAAAUAUGAAAUUUAUAGCUACUUUGACUUAUUUUUUUCUAAAAGCUUUUUUGAGAAUAUUUCAAUUGAUGUUGAAUGCUCUUUUCAAUGGGUGCAGGGUGUGAUGAAGUAUCAAGGUCUUAUUUGGAUUUUUUUUUGAAGAAAUUUACUGCGGAAGUUGAAUCAAAUGACAAGGUUGUUUUGAAUAAUUGUAAGGUAAGUAUGAUGUGAAAUGAAGUUUGACUUGCUCUAUUGGUUUAUUGUCUUAUUUAUUGUAGGUUGUGGUCACUGUCUUUAUUGGUUGUGACACAUGUUUUGUUCUUAAGAAUAAAUUGAUAUAGGUACAAAGGCAUGCAUUUUACAGUGGUCUGAUCAAUCAUUAAAGAGUACAAAGAUGGUUAUGCUGAUUUUGAGAAUUUUUUAUCGCCUCAAUUUGUUGGAUUUACAAGUAACCCAAUGUGUCGUCUAUUUUUAAGCUGUUUUGAUAAAAAGAAAGGAUUAUAUCUAAAGAUGCACUUAACUCCUAAUUCUUACAAAGUCUAAUAAAGAACCUUUGGUAUGAUAAUUUAUCUCUUGAUUCAUAUUUUUAGUAUGGUUAUUGCAGUUAGUAAAAAUUGCAAGGCUUCUAAAGGCAAACACAUCUUGUAUUUGUGUCAUAUUUUCACACUUUGUCCCAACUUCUCAGUUCAUCUUUCUCUUUAUCUCUUCCCCUCCCUCUUAUUGUUGUCCCUGUCUCUCCAUACAGAACAAAUAAAUGUAACUAAGAAUUCUAUAACUACUGGUGAUAGAAGAAGUACAAUCUCUUAAGAAUAUAUAUAUUUGAUCAAUUUUAAUUGGUAAGUCCUCUUUGUAUAGGAGUCGUAGUUAGUAUUAACAACCUGCAUUUUUUUAUGUAUAAGGGAAGAAAUAGGUUACUCUUCUCGACAUAUUUGAUUGCCGGAGCAGACGGCAGAUAUAUUGUUGAGUGUUAAAGUAUAUUACCCUUUUGAUUUGAUUUAUGUUGGUAUAAAAAUAUUUCCUAGGUCAUAUAUAUUGUACUUAGCAACCUUGACGCUAUGGAGAUUUCAUUGUUUUUCUCUGCUACUACUACCAAUUUUUCUAUGCAUCUGCACAUGGGAUAGUCAUCUUGCACUCUCCAUUUGAUAUAGUUCAUUUUCUUUAGUACCACAACACCAUCAAAUCUUCUGUCAAGGAAAAGAAUGUCGCUAAGAAAUUAUAUAAGGCAUUUCACACUCGCUUUUCGCAAGGAAGAGAAUACCUGGAGAGGAAGGGAAUCAUCAUAGGUUGUAUUUUAAGUAAAGAUUUGAAUGCCAAUGAAUUGAGCAAUAUAUAAAAAUAUCAACCUACGAGCUAAUGCAACCUAAUAAAAAAAAUACUAUUGAGCAACUAUAGAGUUUUAGGUUAGGUAGUAUACAUUGAACAUCUAUCUUUUCAAUUUUCUCAUCCCGUUAAAUUACAAUCUUUAUCUGUUAUACAUCAAUAAUGAGAUGUUUGAUUGUUAUGUUCGAUAUUCAAACGGUCAUGUGAGAUUCGUUUUUUAUUACUGCAUAAGUUCAACUGUUCCUACUUGAUUUUUCAAAAUUCUCGAGUAUUUGGUGUAAUAUGAGAUUCAUAUGAAAGGUAUUUUCUUCUAUUGUAUGAAAGAAACUCAUAUGAGAAUCUUUUGAGUACUUAAAGUAAUAUGAAAUUCAUCUUAAAGAUGUGCUUUGUGAUAUCAUGUAUUCGUAUCCAAGAUUUGAUGCUUCAUCUGCUUCUUUAGUUUAGUAAGAAUUAUUUCAUGCUAUUGCAUGAAACAUUUGACUGGUCUCCUACUGCUCUACGCUAGCUCGAAAGGUAUGGCUACUCUCUUCUUUCCUGCUGAACAUCAUCAAGAAUUUCCCCCUUCUUCUGCUUCACCCGGAAGAUUCUCAAUACAGGCUUAACAACCAUCCCUGCUUACAUUUUAAGAAAAGUUUAAUAGUGACCGUCAAGCUUCACUAAUAGAUAUGGUUCUCCUAUAAGGAGCAUGCUUGCCCUAUGUUUAUUGGUGUGCUAAGUCAUGUAACUUAAUGUUGAAACUUAGCGUACAAGAUAUAGCUUAAAUCUCAUAAAUUUAAUAGGCAGAGCAUAUUAGUCACUUGAUAUAAUUCAACGUUCCUGAAUCAAUUUUAUAUUUCUCAGUGAUUAUUUUUUAUACAGAUGACUUCAAGCUAACAUGAUUACUGAUUUCUCUCUAGGUUGAUGAUAAUCCUUCUUUGACAAAUGCUUCCAAGAUGUAGCAUCUAUUAUUGCGAGAGUUGGUCUUGGGGCUCACUGCAUUAGCAUAGGAAGUGUCCGACAUGUUUGAGCAAGCUGUUGGCAGAAAAUACACUGCGAGGAUAUUACUAACAUUGAAGAGUUCUCUCGCCAUUUUGGAGCUGUUGAUUUGAGGUAAAAAGAUGGACAGAAAAGGUGCUUAUGGCUGAAAUGAGAUAGGUUACUAUUAAAAAAAAUUACAGCCUACAAAUUUCUAUGUCUAUUAAUUAGUUUAGAAUUGUAUCUAUGUCUCAGGAUACCUGAUAAAGAGAGAACACUAACAGAGGCUUGAGCACUUACCAUCUGAUCUGAUCCUACUAAGCAAAAGUAAUCACUUGGAAUAUUUAGAACUGGCAAGAAGAAGACGCACUUCUUAUUCUCAUAUUUACGCGUGACAUUGUUACUCAACAAGAAAUACUUGAAAAUUGUAGUUAAUAGAUGGUGCUAUCAUAUUAGAAAGUAUUUGUUUUGUAAUCUAUAGCAAGAAAAUCAUCUGAGUUCAGUAAGUAAGGGGGAUUUGCCAAAGUGUCCUCUCUUUUAUGUAAGGCAUCAUUUUUCUUCCUGAUUUUACAGAUGAACUUACAAAAGGGAAGAGAUUUUCAGUUCUUGGUUUCCAUGGAGAACUUUUCCAUCAUAAUUUAAUUUUGACUAUGCCUAUUUAAGCUUCUUCUAGAAUUGCUAUGUUUUAUUUUCAAAUUGGAUUUUAACAUGCAUGAUUCCAAAAAAAAAUAAUGUGCAGGUACUGGUCACGUUUGUUAUGGCAUUUUGGUUGCUGAUCGUAAUGGUUGCAUGGCUACUAUGACCAACUUGAAGAGAAUUACCACAUGAACAUAUGUUGUUGAGAUUUGUGUAAUACACAAAGCAAAUGCUUUUGCUUUCUCACAUAUAUGCAAUAUUAUCAACUUCUUCAUUGCAAUGACAUUGUACCACCCACUCACUAAUGUGAGAAAAUGUCUCUUAUAUAUUAUCCUAUUUUUUGUGAAAAUGAUACUCCUUUCAUGUACUCUAUCUAGCAUAUGUAUAUGUGUGUGUUAUUUUCAUAAUUUCUAAAAAAAAUAUUAUAAUUUAAUAAUUAGUUUUUCUUUUCGAUUGACAGUAUAACAUUUCUUGUAAUAUUUUGUAAGACAAGAAUAAACAUAUAUAAUUUUUUUAUUCUUUUUGGUAACUGUAAUUGUAUUACCAGAUUUUCAAAUAUGUACAAAUUUGAAGCUUAGGACAUGGAUAGAAUCCCAAGUCUCAAAGCCCAUCACCUUUGCCUUGCCCAGGCUCUAUGCUAGAAUUUCUACUAAGGAUAAAAAUUUAGUUUAUGCAUUGCACUAGCCAGUCUAGGAUUCAUGCUACUUCUACAAUGAAUUUCAUGAAUAAUUUGCUUUAUAAUUUCCUCUAUGCUCCUCUCCUUUUGCCGAAAAAUUCUGUGAUUCCUCUCUUGCCAUAUGUAAUAAAGAGCUGCAGCUAAUGUCAUUCUAUACACUUCAUCUUGUAUUGAUUUCCUGUUAGCAUGCAGUGUUGCCCAUUCUAUCUCUUCAGUCCACCCUGCACUACUUCUGGUGAUGGACAGCCAUUGAAGUAGUCUUUGCCAUAUCACAUCUGACACUGCAUGCAAAAAAUAGGUGCUGGUGUGUUUCAGGUUCUGCUUUGCACAUUGCACAAAUUGAAUCAGUGUUUAUCCCCCAUUUGUAUUGUUAUGUAACGUAUAAAUUAUUAUACGUUACAUAACAAUACAAAUAUUAAAAUAUCUCUUAUUGAUUAUUGUUUUGAAAACUUUUUCAAUAGAAUCAAUUGUUUACGUAAACUAUCAAAAUUAUUCUUAAAGUGUUUAAAACAAAAUUAAGUUUUCACUUUAUUGAAUAUGUCAAUUAGAGUAUCAUUUUUUUACUUAUAUAAUAUUUUGUAAUAAUUUUAAUUACAAAAUCAAUAUUAUAGUGAUUGUUACCUUUAGAGGACAUUCAAAGUUAAAACAAUAUUUUUUAAAUUUAAUUGUUUGAUAAUCUAAUUAGUUUGAGGUUGAAAUGUUUAAUAAGACAUGUCUGAAGACAAUCUUCCAAAGUCAAUAUUAAAACAUGGUUGAUUCAAAUUCUGAAUUAGACAAGUUAAGAUAUAAAAAGUAACUAUAAAUUUAAUUAUCUUUAUUUUUAAAUAUAAUUACAUCAAUAAUAAAAUUUCAAAAAUAUGUGGAUAAUGAUUAAUAAUAAAUUAACAACAAAUUAUUAAGAAAAUUUUAAUUAAUAUUAACAAUAAAUACAUAAUUUUUUUUAUAUUCUACUUGGGAUAUUUUUUUUCUUCCAAGUUCCAAGUGUGCUAUUGCUUAAUACGGUGCUUCUCACAAUUACACCGCCAUAAUCGUUUAAUCAUGCCUCUUACUUUAUUUCUUUAUUGUACAUCUUCGAUAUGUUUGAGCAAACUGAAUUUGGGGGAGUUUUUGGUUUGUUGGAGGCCCUUAUUUUUUGCGGCUUAAAGCUAUUGAUUUAGUGGCUUUAGGGUUGAGCCGCCCUUGGUAGGUUGACGAUUAGCAUUAACAACAUCGGGGCGGAUCUAGGAAAUUCUAUUGUAUAAGCAUAAUAGAUAAAUGUACCCUUUAAUUUGACUUUAGCUUGUGUCUGUGCCCUCCAAUUUUGGGUGUGAACAAGUAAGCACUUACACAUGUAUAAAAUUAAAUAAGUAGACACAUGCGUCCUACUUGACCAAUUUACGUCCUACGUGAUCCAUGUAGAACACGUGUGUCUACUUGUUAAAUUUUAUAUAAGUUUAAGUGUCUACUUAUGCACAUCCAAAGUUGGAGGACAUAAAUGUCAACUGAUGUCAAGUUAAAACUUUCUUCAUGGGAUUCUACUUCAUGAGAAGCUAGCUAACAAAUUGCAACUAGGACCUAAGUUCUAUGUGGUUGGUUUGUCCAUGAGAGCCUAUCAUGUUUUGUACAUGAAUAAAGUUUAGGGAUCAUACGUAAAAUGGAGUUGCUCUUGUAGGUCCAUCCACGAACUAUUGGUGGAUGAAUCAACAGUGGUUCCAUUCUUUAAGUGUUAUGGAAGGAAAUAGUGAAACAGUUAUCUGGAGCCCCAAGUCUUGGUGAGGUAAAUAGUUUUCUCAUUUUCAACUUAAUUAUAUCCAUUUGUUCUACAAUCAAAAUUCUCUAUAAUCAAAUUGUUUGUCCGUAUAUUUGUUGACUCCUAUAGCGAGAUGUUGUUGUACAGAACAUAUAAUAUCACAUAAUGUGAAAGUCUGAUUCCAAAGAAAACUUGUUUGUAAUAGUAAAAUAUUGUUAUAAAGAAUGAUUGUUAUAUACUUAUAUAGAGGUGGCAUGUGUCCUAUCUAAAUGCAUUUUUGUUUUGUUGUGUCAAAUUGAAUCUUUGGUUGCCUUCUCCACAUUAUGAACUAGAGGUUACAAUUAAAAUGGUUGGAUCAAACUUGGGCAAGUCAAAACGGAUCAAAUCAAUACACGGAUCAUACGACCCAAUUCACCCAAGGUUCGCUUGGGUUGAAAUAGGCUAGGUCAAGAUGAGUUAAAUGACAGUUCAUAUCCCAAACCGCUGAAAAAAUAUUUAUGUUUCAUCUACAUCUUACAUAUUAAAUUGUAUAAUCAUCUCUAAAAGUUUAAGUUGUUAAUUAUAUUACUUAUGUCAACACGUCUCUUCAAAUGGGGACUUGAUUCCUUUUAAUGAGUCAAGCACAAGCAAUUUUUUUUCACCUUUUUAAUGGCAUUGAGAUUUUAAUUUGAACCUGGAGUCUCUUGCCUGCUCUGAUACCAUAUUGAAUUAUGUGACUAUUAUUUAUUAAAGUUUAACCUGAUAGAAAGUACAAUACUUUUGAUCACUUUAUUAUCUUACGUCUCGAUAUUGUUAGGGUUUUGCCCUGAUUUUCUUUCCUUAAUUGAAGUUUUUUUUUUCCUUAAAGAAAAAUUAAAGUAUUACCAUAAAUGCUUGAACUUUUUCUGAAAGGAAAAUAUAGUUUUCUUUCAUAGUUGGUUUAUUCUUACCUUAGAGGAAAUGUUUGGAGAUCUAUAAAUUGAAGAUCCCUAUUCUUAUAGCAUAACACAAUAGAAUCUACAAUGUAGACAUCUAGAGAGUUUUGUUUAUGGAGAGAUUUUCUCUUAAACAUAUUUAUGUUUUUUUUUCAAUAUUAUAUUAGUUUUAUAAUAUGUAGGUCACUUGACCAAACACUAUUAAUAAUAUAUUUUUAGUAUGUUUUUAUUUGUCGUCUAAUUUAUCAAUCUAUGAUUUGCAAAUUAUAAGCCUUCGCAUAACGCCCUAAUCACCUUCAUAACCCAACAAGACUUGCCAUGGUUAAAAAUAAAGUUAAAAAUAUAUGGGUUAAAAAUAUUUUGUUUUUAUUCUUAAAAAUUGCAGCAACAAGAAUGUUUGAAAUUUUUUGGCACACCAUAUCUAGAAAAAGGUAACACAACAAGGCGAGUUUGAAUCAUUGUAUGAUCCAACACAAGUUUCUAAUCCUUUCAAAGAGAAUGAGGGAAGUGUCCAUCUUUGGCAAAGGUUAAGAGGACAAAAUUGUACCAAGAAAACUCAAUCAAUAUGUAGCAAAGAAGCUUGGUUGGAUUAAAUAUCAUGAAGUUCCUAAUGCUAGUCACUUCUUGAUUUAUGAUGCUACUCUAUGUGAAACCAUCUUGAGGAAACUAGUGAAUGAAUGAGUAGAAAUAGAAAACAUUGUGAUGAAAUAAUGGUAAUAUUCACUAGCCUUUGUGAUAAAUCAAAAAUAAUAAAGCUAGUACAAUAUUAUCUAUUGUACGUACUAUAUUUCCUUGAUAAAAAAUCUAGUAGUAGUGAAGUUGGUUCUUGAAUUUGUGGACUAACGUAAUUUCCGAAUGUAUAAAUUUUAUUUCAAAAAAUUUGAAGAUCUCAUGUCUGAAUUUACGAUCAAAAUUAGACUAUUUAACUCUUGAAAAGUGAAAAAUGUUAUAUAAACUAUAACAAAAGUGUUGUUGGUUAGGUUGAUUUCCGAAAUAGAGUUGAAAAGGAACAUGUCAGAGUUAUGGUUAUCAACCAACCAUUAAUUAGAAGCGGCAAUGCCUUAAUUAGGGUAUUUAUUUAAGAUAAUUAGAAGUUGAAUUAUGUAUAAUCGUUAUAGUCACAAUCUUUGAAUUAUAAAAGUCAAAGGGGUUCGACAUCUAAUGGCAUGACAUGUUCAUGGGCAAGCCAUAAUAUCAAAUAUUUCAUCUUAUAUCCAGCCUUUAUAAUAACUAAUAAGGUUCAUAGAAGGACAAAUAAGAUGCCUCCACUCUUAAUAAGACGAUUCUUGUUUGAAUUUUGUGUAUUGAAAAAAUAAUAAUUAAGAAGUGCUUCUCUCUUAAUUAGAUUUUACGUAAUGCCAAUCCAAAUUAAUUGAAGCCCCAGCGCGAGUACCAAACACCAAAUACUUAUACCUUAUCCAAAUUCUUACAAGAAGCCUCAUUUUCAACUAUAGAUUAAAACUUUAAAUCCAUUAAUUUUGAAUGUAACACUUUUCCAAAAAUGAAUCCACUACCGUGAUUAUUACUGUUUUUUCAGAGCAAAAAUGCUUAUUCCAUAAAAUUUAGUUUUAUGUACUCUACGCAAUAAACAUUGGUUACGAAUUUACAGUAAAAAAAAACUUAACUUGUUAUAACAUGUUAUUAUUCAAGUCUCUACCAAUUCCUCCUGCAAUACAAAUUAAUGAAGUGCAUAUAUGAACUUUAAUAAUUAUAUAUGUCUCAAUCCCAAACAAAUUAAAAUGUACCAUACAACUAAAAUAGUACUAAUUGUCUUGUAAGACAAUCAAAACAACCAUCAAUGGGCGAGAUGGAUGAAAUCGAUCUCUUGCUCAAUAGCUGAGGUUCCAAAUUCAAACACUAAGAAUAAUAAAAUUCUAUUAGUAGGGAAAAUCCUCUUAAAUAGACCCCACAUAAUUCAAAUUUAAAUUAAUCGAAUCAGUAAGAUUCGGUACAAUAAAAAUUUUAAAAAAUCAAUUUAAACACCUCUACCUUGAACUUAUUACUUGUUCUUCCAUAAUUGUCUCCAACAAAGGCUUCCUAAAUUCUUGUCUCACCGGAAAACCUAACGGUCCGACCCCGUCCUUCUCCGGAGAUCUACCCACCUUUGCCUCGUUUUCCGGUCCCGGUUUACCAACGGAAAUAAUAUCUUUUGUUGUUAUAACGGAAUUCACUUUUUUCAUUGGGAACAUUAUAUAAAUGUUCCCAAACUCGAGCUCUUCGUCGGCCGAUAAAGCUGAAAAUCUUCUGCCGACGAUUAACGAGCUGGAGUUUACUAAAAAGGAGUUAGGAGAUUCCAACAUAAGCUCAGCUGCUAUUAUUGGUUCAUUAAAUUUUUGAAUUUUUCCAUUUUGAAAAAUAACCCUUGUUGGUCUUGAACUCAUUACCUUUGGUGAAGUACCACAUGAAAUAAAAUUCCCCAUUAGAAAUUUUUUUUAAUUAUAAUAAAAAUUGGGAAUAGUUUGGGUUUGUUAUAUUUUUGAAGUGUAAAAAUUGACAAAGGAUAUAUUCACAAUAAGAUGAGAAUCACAAACCUAUUUAUAGUUGGUUUGGGAGAACUAACAAAAUCUUACUCCCUAAAUAAUUAGAAGUAUGAUAGGUCAAAAUAUUUAAAUUUGACUAUAAAUUUGGAUAUGAAAUUUUCAAAAUAUAAAGUUACAUAUGUAGAAGUCAACAUAAUAAGUGAUUUAAAAUAUUUUAAAAAAACUUUGAAGAUAAUAGUAAUCAUAGAAGAUACCGAUUUGACUUUCCAAACAGUAACUUGUAAAACUUAAAUAGGACGGAGAGAGUAUUAUCGUAAAAACAUUUAGUCAUUUUUCGAAAGAAAACAAUUUUGAAGAAUAGCAAUUUAUAUAAUUUGUUUAAUCAAUUUAAUUUUUUUUUUCAAUAUUAGAUUAAUAAUUGUGUUUGGUCAAUAUUUUAAAUUCGUUAUUUCCUUUAUCUCAAUUUAUAUAUGUAUUUGACUGAACACAAAGUUUAAGAAAAGAAAAAAGAAGGAAAUUUGAUAAAAACUUAUAAUGUUAAAUAAGUCACUGAUAAAUCAUUUCGCUAAGAGUAAAAUAGAAAGUAUAAAAUUAAAUUAUUUUUAAAUAAAAUAAAUAAAUAUUUUUUGUGUAACCGCUAUUAUGAAACAUAAAUUAAGAUAAAAGAAGAUAUACAUUUAUUAAGCAUAAAGUUUACUAUGUAAGAUGCAUUAAUGUAGGUGGGGAAUGACCUGUCAAGUCCAUGGGAUUGUGUUGGCAAAAAAUUAAGGUAGGAUUAUUAGUGUGGAAGGUUUAUUAACUUCUUUUUUCACUUUUUCAAAGUUUUGUUUCAUUUUCAUGGUGGGGUUGGGGAUAAAGAUUGGUCAAAUGUGUUUUAUUAUCAAUUUGUCUUAGUGUUUGUGAAGUGAUAUAUUCAGACUAAUCACCAUUAACUCUAGAUAAAGAAUA